UACGUAGGGGGCAAGCGUUGUCCGGAAUCAUUGGGCGUAAAGAGCGUGUAGGCGGUUCGGUAAGUCGGCUGUGAAAGUCCAGGGCUCAACCCUGGGAUGCCGGUCGAUACUGCCGGACUAGAGUUCGGAAGAGGCGAGUGGAAUUCCUGGUGUAGCGGUGAAAUGCGCAGAUAUCAGGAGGAACACCGAUGGCGAAGGCAGGUCUCUGGGCCACUACUGACGCUGAGAAGCGAAAGCAUGGGGAGCGAACAGG
Molecule: ribosomal RNA, 253 nt
Filed under: uncultured bacterium
Lineage: Bacteria
Description: partial 16S ribosomal RNA
Rfam family: Bacterial small subunit ribosomal RNA
Source: RNAcentral